GCCCCGAUAGCUCAGAGGAUAGAGCACCGGCCUCCGGAGCCGGGUGCGGCGGUUCGAGUCCGUCUCGGGGUACCA
RNAcentral lists this transfer RNA (75 nucleotides) under Dehalococcoidia bacterium. RNAcentral describes it as "tRNA-Arg". It matches the Rfam family "tRNA". Rfam says of the family: Transfer RNA (tRNA) molecules are approximately 80 nucleotides in length. The record is from RNAcentral. Lineage: Bacteria; Bacillati; Chloroflexota; Dehalococcoidia.